RNAcentral lists this ribosomal RNA (848 nucleotides) under Gammarus nekkensis. RNAcentral describes it as "partial large subunit ribosomal RNA". The stretch from base 430 to 576 matches the Rfam family "Archaeal large subunit ribosomal RNA", at positions 1888 to 2085 of the family's 2987-position model. The record is from RNAcentral. Lineage: Eukaryota; Metazoa; Arthropoda; Malacostraca; Amphipoda; Gammaridae.
CUUACAAUGAAAAUAACCUUAGGGCUUUCUUAUAAUGUAAAUUAAGGGCAAGGAGAAAGAAAAUAUGUUAGUUGUACCUUUUGUAUCAGGGGAGUUUAAAAUUGUAAUAAUAUUUUAAUCGAUUAAAGCGGAUCUUUAUAUUAAAUUUUUAGUUGGAUUUAAAGAUUGUAAAGAAUUAAGGGGUGAAAAGUGUACGGCGCUUAGGGUAUCUAGUUGUUUUAUGUAUAAAUGGUUAAGCUUUUAUAUAUCUAAAAUAUUAGUAAGGUGUUAAGAGCUAGGCUUUAGAUUAGCUAUGUUGGUAAAUUGUUUUAAGUAAUUUAUUUAGAUUUUUUUAGGUUAGAGUGUAUAGACAAUGCUUAAAUAUUUAGAUAAGCAGCAGUAAUGAAUUUAUUGAAUAAUAAAAGAAGAUUGAAAAUAACUCAAGUAUGUUAGAAAGUUUAGCAAAAACAUUUCUAUUUGUAAAAAUAAAAGUAAAACCUGCCCGGUGCCGAGUUAACGGCUGCGGUAUUUUGACCGUGCUAAGGUAGCAUAAUCAUUUGCUUUUUAAUUGAAAGCUGGCAUGAAAGGUUAAACUAAUUUAUUCAGUUUGUAAAUCUAGUUAGGAGCUUUAAGUUAAGGUAAUAAUUCUUUAAUUUUCUAGGGGACGAUAAGACCCUAGAAGCUUAAUGAAUAUUGAUUUUUUUAGUUAUAAAUUUAAAUUUGUUUGACUGGGGCGGUAUUUACAAGUAAACUGUUUUUUUAUUGAGGGAUCUUUAAUAUUAAGAAAUAACGGGUAAGUUACUCUAGGGAUAACAGUGCGAUAUAUUUAGAGAGAUCUUAUCGAUAAAUAUGAUUGCAACCUCGAUGUU